AAUCUUCCACAAUUGGCGAAAGCCUGAUGGAGCCACUCCGCGUGAGUGAAGAAGGUUUUCGGAUCGUAAAACCCUGUUUUAAGGGAAGAACAAGUACAGUAGUAACUGUCUGUACCUUGACGGUACCUUAUUAGAAAGCCACGGCUAACUACGUGCCAGCAGCCGCGGUAAUACGUAGGUGGCAAGCGUGGUCCGGAAUUAUUGGGCGUAAAGAGGGCGCAGGCGGUCCUUGAAGACUGAUGAGAAAGCCCACGGCUCAAAAGUGGAGGGUCAUUGGAAACUGGGGGACUUGAGUGCAGAAGAGGAGAGUGGAAUUCCAAGUGUAGCGGUGAAAUGCGUAGAGAUUUGGAGGAACACCAGUGGCGAAGGCGACUUUCUGGUCUGUAACUGACGCUGAGGCGCGAAAGCGUGGGGAGCAAACAGG
This 424-nucleotide ribosomal RNA is filed under the name uncultured bacterium. RNAcentral's name for it is "partial 16S ribosomal RNA". It matches the Rfam family "Bacterial small subunit ribosomal RNA", at positions 360 to 776 of the family's 1533-position model. The record is from RNAcentral.